GUAUUUGGGCGAUUAACGUAAUGUUCUAUUAAACAGGAUUGUGAAGCAGAAUUGCCAUCCAAUUCCAAGGUGAUUCAUUGCACCCUUAAUGAAUGGUCCUGAGGGAAGCCCGGUCGAAGAUAUUAGCGAAUAAACAAGAGGGUGUGAUUAUUUAGUAGUUUUUUUUAUUUUUGUAGGAAUGAAAUUUUAUUGUGACCCGAACCUAAAGCAAGUGGUACAGUUUGCAAAGAAAAUGGAGAAGAUCACGCGAAAUGUUGGUGCGGAUUCAACAGUUCCAUGUGGAAACCCAAGUGCGAAAUAAUGAAGCCGUGCAGCCAAACCAAUGAAUUUUGACGUGAUUAAACUGUGUAAUCAAC
Molecule: long non-coding RNA, 356 nt
Filed under: Glycine max (soybean)
Lineage: Eukaryota; Viridiplantae; Streptophyta; Magnoliopsida; Fabales; Fabaceae
Description: long non-coding RNA (GMAX_LNC002337)
Source: RNAcentral